RNAcentral lists this transfer RNA (74 nucleotides) under Parcubacteria group bacterium ADurb.Bin326. RNAcentral's name for it is "tRNA-Thr". It matches the Rfam family "tRNA". From Rfam's summary of the family: Transfer RNA (tRNA) molecules are approximately 80 nucleotides in length. Their secondary structure includes four short double-helical elements and three loops (D, anti-codon, and T loops). The record is from RNAcentral.
GCCGAAGUAGCUCAGUUGGUAGAGCAACGGUAUCGUAAACCGUGGGUCAGGAGUUCGAGUCUCCUCUUCGGCUC